Molecule: long non-coding RNA, 1206 nt
Organism: Esox lucius (northern pike)
Lineage: Eukaryota; Metazoa; Chordata; Actinopteri; Esociformes; Esocidae
Exons: 3
Source: RefSeq, a predicted model, not a curated record
CUGCUAGCACUGUGAUUCCUCGUUUCCACUGGUGACAAACACUUGUGUUUUACCCAAAAGUCCAGAAAUGUUUCUGUUUCCAUUGACACGGGCAAGCGCAAGUUGGCCAUGGACUGGUGCCAUGCCUCGGACUUUAGGACAUUGGGCGGGGUUGGCGCGUGACGUACAGUGAAAACGCACGGUGUUGUGCAAGUCGCGCGGACCUUUAAAUCUAGACGAGUCCACCAUUUAUAAUUCACUAUCCUCAUUGGUAUUGUGGAAGACAAUAGACUAUAUUUAAAAAAAAAUAAUAAUAAUAAUUAAGCAACACGUCGAUGUCGUUCGACUGGCCGGUGGAUGAACUCCAGGCCCUCGUUGCGUUGUACUGCGAAGAGGAAACCCAGCGGCAGUUUGAGUUGAGGGGCUAUUCGAAAAGUACUACAUAGGAGCCUGCGGUUUAUAAUUGGCUUCUCAAGUUGGGCUUCAUGAGAUCCGUCUAACAGAUCUUUGAUGGGACAAAAAAAAGCAACUAUACAAGGAUGCCUCACAAUGGAAAUAGUUGGAACGACCGAAAGCAGUUUAAAUGGCACGAUGCCAUUGACUCUAUAAUGGGAAACCGGCCAGCGGUACGGAGCGGUGUGACUCGAGUAUGGAGUGUGGUGCAGUUUCUGGAAGAGAUGCAAACCUCUGAUCUGAUUUUGAACAACUAGAGAUGCAUUCAACUUCCUCUGCCAACUCCACUGGAGAGGGUACCCUCACAAGGACACCGUUUGAACACACCUAGUCUACCUGUGAGCCAGCCCAUCCCACCAUCUCCCUCAUCAGUUUGCUGCCAAGACAAACCCUUUGGCAAAAUGAAGCGAGAAUCAGGACAGAGGGAGAUGAUAGAAGCAUUAAACGACAUGCAGACAUGUGACCAUGAUCUAUUGGAAAGAAGGCCGGAUGCCGAGCGCACAUUUGGCACAUCAGGCAUUUGAAUGUGCGAAGGAGAGGGAUGCCAGAAAAGGCAGAUGGAGGCAGUGAGGGAGCAGAUGAAGCGUUUCAAUGCCUGGUUCCUUAGUGUUUUCGGUCGGGUGGUUGACGUCCUUUUCACAAGCCGCUCCCAUCGUUGAUUUUGUGCUGGCUCACGUUCCUGCUCUUGUCCACCAUUAUAGCCUUACAUGUACAUGUCCCCCUUCCAUUUGUAAAUUGUUCUUAAUUAGAUUAGAUUCAACUAUAUUGUCGUUG